CAGCAGCCGCGGUAAUACGUAGGGUGCGAGCGUUAAUCGGAAUUACUGGGCGUAAAGCGUGCGCAGGCGGUUUUGUAAGACAGGCGUGAAAUCCCCGGGCUCAACCUGGGAAUGGCGCUUGUGACUGCAAAGCUAGAGUGCGGCAGAGGGGGAUGGAAUCCCGCGUGUAGCAGUGAAAUGCGUAGAUAUGCGGAGGAACACCGAUGGCGAAGGCAAUCCCCUGGGCCUGCACUGACGCUCAUGCACGAAAGCGUGGGGAGCAAACAGGAUUAGAUACCCGGGUAGUCCUUGUCUCUUAUAC
RNAcentral lists this ribosomal RNA (301 nucleotides) under uncultured bacterium. RNAcentral's name for it is "partial 16S ribosomal RNA". It matches the Rfam family "Bacterial small subunit ribosomal RNA", at positions 509 to 807 of the family's 1533-position model. The record is from RNAcentral.